This 309-nucleotide ribosomal RNA is filed under the name uncultured eukaryote. RNAcentral describes it as "partial 18S ribosomal RNA". It matches the Rfam family "Eukaryotic small subunit ribosomal RNA", at positions 1470 to 1796 of the family's 1831-position model. The record is from RNAcentral.
CCCUUAGAUGUUCUGGGCGGCCCGCGCACUACAUUGGCACUCUCAAUAAGUUCCUAGAUCUAAAACUUUGGGGUAUUCUAUUAAGUGGUGUCGUGACCGGGAUUAACCCUUGCAAUUAUUGGUUACGAACGAGGAAUUCCUUGUAAUCGCGGUUUAUCAGCCCGCGUUGAAUGCGUCCCUGCCCUUUGUACACACCGCCCGUCGCUCCUACCGAUGAAUCGUCCGGUGAAGUUCAUGGAGUGGUGGUUGUUCCAGCUGCUGUCGAAGUGAAAUGGACCUCACGAUUGAGAGGAAGGAGAAGUCGUAACA